This 253-nucleotide ribosomal RNA is filed under the name uncultured bacterium. RNAcentral's name for it is "partial 16S ribosomal RNA". It matches the Rfam family "Bacterial small subunit ribosomal RNA", at positions 524 to 776 of the family's 1533-position model. The record is from RNAcentral.
UACGUAGGCAGCAAGCGUUGUUCGGAAUUACUGGGCGUAAAGUGUGCGCAGGCGGCGUUGCAAGUCGAGUGUGAAAUCCCCGAGCUUAACUUGGGAAUUGCGCUCGAAACUACGAUGCUAGAGUGUGGCAGAGGAAGGUGGAAUUCCACGUGUAGCGGUGAAAUGCGUAGAGAUGUGGAGGAACACCGAUGGCGAAGGCAGCCUUCUGGGCCAACACUGACGCUCAUGCACGAAAGCGUGGGGAGCAAACAGG